GGUUAUCAAAAAAGCACUAUUUUUAAUUUACAUCCUAAAUUUUACCUUUAAGUAAAAAGGCUUAAAUUUCAAUCAAAGACAAGAAGACCCUGUAAAUCUUAACAUCUUAUUAAUUUAACACCUAAAAAAAUGUUCAGCUGGGGCGGCAAAAAAAUAAACAUUUUUAAAUAUUAAUAAUAAUUAUAAUACCUAGAACUUCUAAAAUUUAAUCAAGAUACCUCAGGGAUAACAGCGUAAUCUUUCUAAAAAGACCUUAUUAACAGAAAUGUUUACGACCUCGAUGUUGGAUUAAUAACCCUUUCCUGUGCAAAAGCAAGAAAAGGAGGUCUGUUCGACCUUUAAUUAUUUCCA
RNAcentral lists this ribosomal RNA (351 nucleotides) under Tityus paraguayensis. RNAcentral's name for it is "partial 16S ribosomal RNA". The stretch from base 47 to 351 matches the Rfam family "Bacterial large subunit ribosomal RNA", at positions 2048 to 2600 of the family's 2925-position model. The record is from RNAcentral. Lineage: Eukaryota; Metazoa; Arthropoda; Arachnida; Scorpiones; Buthidae.